Long non-coding RNA from Mustela lutreola (European mink), 3770 nucleotides. RefSeq lists it as uncharacterized. NCBI's taxonomy places the organism in Eukaryota, Metazoa, Chordata, Mammalia, Carnivora, Mustelidae. The record is from RefSeq and is a predicted model, not a curated record. The transcript has 2 exons.
GGAUGAAGGUGUGGGAGGAUGGUGUAGGGCGGUGUAGGGCGGUGGCUCUGCAAGCAGCGUGUGGGCGCGGAGGGCCGCUCCCGUAAUGGGUUGGGCUGUGUUCUUGUGGACUCCCGUUAUCAAAAGCUUGUGGACUCCACUCUCCGAGCCCCCAGCGAGUGUGCGUCUCCGGGUCGGAGACCCCAAGGGCAUUUGAGUGCGAGAGCAGUGGGUGGAGCAUCUUUGCCCACCCACGGAGCAGCUUUUUCUAAAUCCUUCACCUCGGAGACACUACUGGGCCUUCUGCGGCCACUCUGCCUGCAGUUCAGCUCCUCGACAAAGAAAACAGGAACUCAGGGCUGAAAUCCUGUCCCGACAGGGGAAGGGGUAGCCUCUCCUGAGCGGAGCUCUCUGGGGCUGGGACUUGGCGGGUCCCACCCACGUCCCUACUGGGCUGGGGCGGAAACCCGGCGGUCGGAUUACAACCCGAUCCAAAAGUCGUGGCGGCGCCCGCAGCUAGUCAGGGCAUGCUCAGUGGGCAGAACAGGUUUUCGGGCUUAGAAAUAGGAAGCUUUUGCACCACACACCCACACCCCCACACCCCAGCUCAAAUUACCUCUCCCAGACUCGGGGCCCAUUGGUUCCGGGGCGCAAAUCUCACACCCCUAACUGUUGUUUCAUUGGCUACCGCCAAGGUUUUACCAGUUUGGGUUGCUUCAUUGGCUAAAAAGUAGCCUCGGCUCAUGAUUGGUUAUUUAUAGAGAUUGAGUUGAGAGGCGGAGGCACAGCUGUUCUUUCUCUGCUGCUCCCCCCGCCCCCUUCCUCCCACUUCCCCAACCUAGUCGUUUUGAAGCUCAGAGUGAAAAAAUAAGAGGAAUUUAGGCGGAGAGCUCAGAGCUAAAUAUAGUUCUUUGUUGGUGUUUUCGAGAGAGUCUGACUUCGCAGUGCCCAGUCACGACUGUCCCUUAACGGGAGCAGAAAGGUCUAGUUGCAGUUCUUGGUCCGCAAGCAGCAGCAAAAUGUCCAAGUUGUUUUUGCAGAGAGGGAAGUGGGGGGACUAGGGUGUGGAGAUGGGCCACUUUGAGUUCGUGUCACCCGGAGGGGUGGGGGAAUGCCCAGGCUUGCCCUUAUUAAACGUCUCUUCGUUUUGGGCGUGCAGUCUGCACAUUUGGCUGGGCUCGCACUCACGGGAGGUGCGAGGGAGAUGUCUCGACUUGCCCUGAGCCUCCCUCCCUCCUCGCGGAGGAGAGAUGUCAAGACCUGUCAGAAGACUCAGCGAAGUUUGCGUGAGCCCUAAAGUGAAGUGGGUAGGAGGGGACGGAGCUGCGUCAACCCGGGCUCCGAGUCUUGCCUUUUUUAUCCGAUGCUACUUCCCACUCCCCUUGCGCAUCACACAGACGAACCAGGCUGUGUGCUAACGUUUGGUUUCCGUUCCUUAGUCCCGCCGUGACUCACGGCCACGUUUGCGAAUUAACCUUUCCUGAGCUCCUGGCUGUAGCUCAGAAUCUGCCGGGCGAAGUCCCCCGUCGUCCGACCCGGCGGGACAUGGGCGGGGUGGGGUGGUUGGUGCCCAUCCCUGCCCCUAGCCUCACUAUUUAGUGGAGAGAACGGUUUAACCUUGACUAUCAGCGAGCCUGGAUAUAACUAGGCUUAUAUAAUUCUCCAGAAAAGCCUCUCAGAGGCGCAUUCACCUAAUGCAGCUGAAGAGAACCCCCGCAACAUUUACUUACCCAGCAUUUAAUGCCUGCCAAACGUUUUACAUGUUUCAUGUACUCCACAUAAUACUUAUUACAUGUAUUUUAAAGAUAAAGAAACUGAGGUCCUGGGAUGUUGGUUAACUUGCUUGCCAUUUCACAGCCAGUGAGUGGCCAACGUAGGAUCCCAGCCCAGGUGUUUCUCUGCAGAACCUGGUUUGUGACUAAGCCAUACUACCCUCUCACAAGAAAGGUCCCGGAUUUUCCUCUUUCUUAGGUUUGGUCUUCAGGUAGUGUGAUCAGACUGUCUCUUAAACCCAAGGGAUCUCUGCUCUGUGGUUCUCCUUUUCAUAAUGCCCCCUCCCAUGCAGUCAAGGAACCUGAACCCUCUUCUAGACCAUGCUCCAGGGAGUCAGAAUUCUGGAAUCCUCACCCAGAGAGUAACAAACCCUCCUCCAGGACUCGCAUGGGCCUCUGAACUUAGUCUUGUGUCCAAGAAUGGCUUUUUGUUGGAGUGUGGGCAGUGCUUGGACUUGUGGCCUGAGGUGCGCCCUCCCAGGCACUUUGGGCCCUACCAGGUGGGGGAAGAGGACUCAGUAGCAUCAGCUUCCCCUUCACUGCCCCUUUCCAGCCUCCUACUUGGAAGAGUCCCAGAAUUCAUGAUUCUCACCUGGCGGUCCAGAUUCUUGUAAAGGAGGUAUUUGUCAGAGUGGGAGGAUAGAUCGAUUAUUUUGUUAACAGUUCAUUCUCUUGAUUUAUAACUUAAAUACUUAGAUUACUGCUAUGUGGGCCUCUCUUUGUCCUCUUACUAAGAGGGGUUCUCAGUAUGACAGAGUAGAAAAUGCUUUGUCUUUUACAGGUCUUGGUGCCUAAUCUCAAGAGCUGGGAUAUCAGUUAUUAUCUACAGGUUCCUUGAGCUCUCCUGACUUUAGUUUCCUGGUCUAUAAAAUGGUGAUAAUAAAAUUUGCCCUACCCACCUAGCUACAUGAAGAACCUUGGAGAGAAUCUAGUGACCAAACCCCUCAUUUUGCAUCAGAGAGAACUGAGCAGAAUUAGAACCCUGGUGUCCUAGCUGUACUUUGCAUGGUGCCAGCCUGUCCUCGGGGAUAAUAAUUAACAGAUAAUGGAUGGAAACAUGCUUUUAAAGCUGCAGUACCCCAUAAAUGCAUAGCAAUUACUACCCUGCCCCAGGUAGCCCGACAGCCCCAUCUAGAAGAUAACCACCGUCAGGACUUCAGUUAGUCAUGUGGAUGGGUGUUACUGAAUCUUGGUACGAGUACCAGAAAGAUGCCACCUUGUGAAUGCUUUCUGUUAGGGAUUCUUCGGUAGUGAUUUUUAUUACAUUCAGGUAGUCUCCCACAGAAAGAUUUGCACCAGGGCUUUGGACUUCAAAAUGAAGUAAGGACAUUGCUGAUGCAGAAAUUUUUAAGGAGGGCAUCAGUAAAGAUGGAGAGAUUGAAAUCCAAGCAAUAGGAUGUCAGCUGAAUGGAUGUUUCUGAAGAGAGGACGGAGGAGGAAUCUGAGGACUCUAGUGGGAUGGCCAAAGACACAUCCUUUCUCUCCAACAGUCAAGAAAAGCCGAGAGAACUGAACUGGAGCUCAGAGGGUGAGACGCCGAGAAAGUUCAAGCUACAAGCAACCUUCUCUCCAUAAACAGAAACGGCAAGACACCUGCGGAAGGUUGGGAGGGCAGGUGUGGUCUUGGGAAUCAGAGUAGAAAUGAAACUGUUUUUAACAGCGUCUGUGUGGUUCGCAGUGUGAAGUUGCUAAGCUGCUAAAUUUGGUUUCCAUGAAUCUGUGAAGAUGCCAAUUCUGUGAAGACGCCAAUUCAAUUUUUUUUUUUUGAAGGGUCUUGAUAAGUCUUCUGGUCAGAUUCUGUUAAAAUUCCUGAGAGCUAUCUUGGAACACUGAAAAAAUAAAAUAAAAUUUUAAAAAAUUCCUGAGGGCUUUGUAUCAACACAUACAAAUAAAUAAUUAUAAAAUUAACUCUGUAUCUCCCAUAUGCCAACCUUAGUGAAAAUACACACAAACCACUGACUUGUGAUGAAAAGUUUCAUUACUCAUGGGAAAUUAAAUGAACUCAAUGAAACGGUCUUA